This 1701-nucleotide long non-coding RNA is filed under the name Oncorhynchus mykiss (rainbow trout). RNAcentral describes it as "lncRNA (ENSOMYG00000056824.1)". The record is from RNAcentral. Lineage: Eukaryota; Metazoa; Chordata; Actinopteri; Salmoniformes; Salmonidae.
CUGAAACGUAGGGAACAUUCUCAGUACCAACUGAAACGUAGGGAACAUUCCCAGUACCAACUGAAACAUAGGGAACAUUCCCAGUACCAACUGAAACGUAGGGAACAUUCUCAGUACCAACUGAAACAUAGGGAACAUUCUCAGUACCAACUGAAACGUAGGGAACAUUCUCAGUACCAACUGAAACGUAGGGAACACUCCCAGUACCAACUGAAAUGUAGGGAACAUUCCCAGUACCAACUGAAACGUAGGGAACAUUCCCAGUACCAACUGAAACGUAGGGAACAUUCUCAGUACCAACUGAAACAUAGGGAACAUUCUCAGUACCAACUGAAACGUAGGGAACAUUCUCAAUACCAACUGAAACAUAGGGAACAUUCUCAGUACCAACUGAAACGUAGGGAACAUUCUCAGUACUGAACCAUAUUUACCAGACAGUGACUGAAACGUAGGGAACAUUCUCAGUACCAACUGAAACGUAGGGAACAUUCUCAGUACCAACUGAAACGUAGGGAACAUUCUCAGUACCAACUGAAAGGUAGGGAACAUUCUCAGUACCAACUGAAACAUAGGGAUCAUUCCCAGUACAAACUGAAAUGUAGGGAACAUUCUCAGUACCAACUGAAACAUAGGGAACAUUCUCAGUACCAACUGAAAUGUAGGGAACAUUCUCAAUACCAACUGAAACGUAGGGAACAUUCUCAGUACCAACUGAAACGUAGGGAACAUUCUCAGUACCAACUGAAACGUAGGGAACAUUCCCAGUACUGAAGCAUAUUUCCCAGGCAUCGGCUGACUACUCUGAUAUAACUCACACGGAGCCCCUGCUGCAGCAGUUGAAUAGCUACCUGUGGUUCAAAUUCCAUUCUCCGCAGGGUGUGUUACCUCACCUUCUUACUGACGCCAAGCAGGACCUCCGCUCAAGGCAUUCAGAUGGGUGUGUGUGUGUGUGUGUGUGUGUGUGUGUGUGUGUGUGCGCGUGCUUGCAGCCAUGGGAAUUAGUUGUUGAUAAUCCUGGCAGACGGCGUGUCUCAGUUUUCCAGGAUCCUCGUUAGUUAACCAUCAGUCUGAAUGACAGGUCGGCCGUCACAUGUAAAUCACAUGUAAAUCACAUGUAAAUCACAUGUAAAUCACAUGUAAAUCUGGCUAUUUGUGUCAGAUGGCCGUUUCAGGAUGAGGCAAGAGGUGAAGGAGGAAGAAACAGCUAGUCUACAUCCCAUACUGACUGGUAGUCCUGUCUAGACCUACUGGUAGUCCUGUCUAGACCUACUGGUAGUCCUGUCUAGACCUACUGGUAGUCCUGUCUAGACCUACUGGUAGUCCUGUCUAAACCUACUGGUAGUCCUGUCUAGACCUACUGGUAGUCCUGUCUAUACCUACUGGUAGUCCUGUCUAGACCUACUGGUAGUCCUGUCUAGACCUACUGGUAGUCCUGUCUAGACCUACUGGUAGUCCUGUCUAGACCUGCUGGUAGUCCUGUCUAGACCUGCUGGUAGUCCUGUCUACACAGACACACCUAUUAUAGUCCUGUCUACACAGAUACACCUGUUAUAGUCCUGUCUACACAGACACACCUGUUAUAGUCCUGUCAACACAGACACACCUGUUAUAGUCCUGUCUACACAGACACACCUGUUAUAGUCCUGUCUACACAGACACACCUGUUAUAGUCCUGUCUACACAGACACACCUGUUAUAGUC